AGAGGGUGCGAGCGUUAAUCGGAUUUACUGGGCGUAAAGCGUGCGUAGGCGGCUUUUAAGUCGGAUGUGAAAUCCCCGAGCUUAACUUGGGAAUUGCAUUCGAUACUGGGAAGCUAGAGUAUGGGAGAGGAUGGUAGAAUUCCAGGUGUAGCGGUGAAAUGCGUAGAGAUCUGGAGGAAUACCGAUGGCGAAGGCAGCCAUCUGGCCUAAUACUGACGCUGAGGUACGAAAGCAUGGGGAGCAAACAGGAUUAGAUACCCUGGUAGUCCAUGCCGUAAACGAUGUCUACUAGCCGUUGGGGCCUUUGAGGCUUUAGUGGCGCACKAACGCGAUAAGUAGACCGCC
Molecule: ribosomal RNA, 345 nt
Filed under: uncultured bacterium
Lineage: Bacteria
Description: bacterial SSU rRNA
Rfam family: Bacterial small subunit ribosomal RNA
Source: RNAcentral